Molecule: non-coding RNA, 518 nt
Organism: Cucurbita pepo subsp. pepo (vegetable marrow)
Lineage: Eukaryota; Viridiplantae; Streptophyta; Magnoliopsida; Cucurbitales; Cucurbitaceae
Source: RefSeq, a predicted model, not a curated record
CCAUGUUUCUCCACAAGUAUUGGAAGGGGGGAGAUAGCUUUGAGUAAGGUUAAAUGAAGGACAUGAACAAACAGUUUCUUGUUCAACUUUUUCUUCUUUUUAUUAUGCUAUUUGCAGCUUUAGUUCAUUAAUAAACAUUGCCCUUAAGCAUCAUGUAAGAGACCACAAGGAUGGGUCAAUUCUUCUCUUUAUUUAGUUGUUGCCAAUUCUACUAGUUGAUGGAUAAUGAUGAGAAGAAUUUCAGGAUUCAAGAAGUACCAAAUUUAUUAGGAGUUCAUUUGUGCAAGUGUUUUUAAUUUGGAACACUUAAGUAGAUAAGCUACUCCUGUUUGGUAAUGUUUUCUGGGCAUGCUAUGCCUUCAAGCUUGAUAUUUAUGCAAUAGCCUUUCCUCUUAAUAUCAUUCAUUGAACAGCACUUUGACCUUGACCUACUGGCUAAAAAUAUAAACGAAAUCUCCAUUGUUUUGAUGAUUCCAGGAUGAGACAUUAGUGAAAUUCUGGAAUCUGUCUCCCUUUAA